RNAcentral lists this ribosomal RNA (491 nucleotides) under uncultured bacterium. RNAcentral's name for it is "partial 16S ribosomal RNA". It matches the Rfam family "Bacterial small subunit ribosomal RNA", at positions 29 to 506 of the family's 1533-position model. The record is from RNAcentral.
AGUGAACGCUGGCGGUAGGCCUAACACAUGCAAGUCGAACGGCAGCACAGUAAGAGCUUGCUCUUACGGGUGGCGAGUGGCGGACGGGUGAGGAAUACAUCGGAAUCUACUUUUUCGUGGGGGAUAACGUAGGGAAACUUACGCUAAUACCGCAUACGACCUACGGGUGAAAGCAGGGGAUCUUCGGACCUUGCGCGAUUGAAUGAGCCGAUGUCGGAUUAGCUAGUUGGCGGGGUAAAGGCCCACCAAGGCGACGAUCCGUAGCUGGUCUGAGAGGAUGAUCAGCCACACUGGAACUGAGACACGGUCCAGACUCCUACGGGAGGCAGCAGUGGGGAAUAUUGGACAAUGGGCGCAAGCCUGAUCCAGCCAUACCGCGUGGGUGAAGAAGGCCUUCGGGUUGUAAAGCCCUUUUGUUGGGAAAGAAAAGCAGCAGGUUAAGACCCCGCUGUUCUGACGGUACCCAAAGAAUAAGCACCGGCUAACUGCGG